GGAUUGGUGGUUCCAUCCCCAUUGUCUUCUCCUAUUUUUCGGAGUUUCUGGCCCAGGAGAAACGUGGGGAGCAUUUGAGCUGGCUCUGUAUGUUCUGGAUGAUUGGUGGCGUGUAUGCAGCUGCAAUGGCCUGGGCCAUCAUCCCCCACUAUGAAUGGGAAGCACGAUGAGGCCUGGAUGGUGCUGAAGCAGGUUCAUGACACCAACAUGCGAGCCAAGGGCCAUCCUGAGCGAGUCUUCUCAGUAACCCACAUUAAAACGAUUCAUCAGGAGGAUGAAUUGAUUGAGAUCCAGUCAGACACAGGAACCUGGUACCAGCGCUGGGGAGUGCGGGCUUUGAGCCUGGGGGGUCAGGUUUGGGGGAACUUCCUCU
RNAcentral lists this long non-coding RNA (373 nucleotides) under Rattus norvegicus (Norway rat). RNAcentral's name for it is "long non-coding RNA NONRATT015581". The record is from RNAcentral. Lineage: Eukaryota; Metazoa; Chordata; Mammalia; Rodentia; Muridae.